UACGGAGGGGGCUAGCGUUGUUCGGAAUUACUGGGCGUAAAGCGCGCGUAGGCGGCCUUGUAAGUUAGAGGUGAAAGCCCAGGGCUUAACCCUGGAAUUGCCUUUAAGACUGCAUCGCUAGAAUCGUGGAGAGGUGAGUGGAAUUCCGAGUGUAGAGGUGAAAUUCGUAGAUAUUCGGAAGAACACCAGUGGCGAAGGCGACUCACUGGACACGUAUUGACGCUGAGGUGCGAAAGCGUGGGGAGCAAACAGG
This 253-nucleotide ribosomal RNA is filed under the name uncultured bacterium. Its description in RNAcentral is "partial 16S ribosomal RNA". It matches the Rfam family "Bacterial small subunit ribosomal RNA", at positions 524 to 776 of the family's 1533-position model. The record is from RNAcentral.